GCCUGGGUGGCUCAGUCAGUUGAGCGUCUGACUUCGGCUCAGGUCAUGAUCUCACGGUUCAUGAGUUCAAGUCCCGCCUCGGGCU
This 85-nucleotide transfer RNA is filed under the name Felis catus (domestic cat). It matches the Rfam family "tRNA". From Rfam's summary of the family: Transfer RNA (tRNA) molecules are approximately 80 nucleotides in length. Their secondary structure includes four short double-helical elements and three loops (D, anti-codon, and T loops). Further hydrogen bonds mediate the characteristic L-shaped molecular structure. tRNAs have two regions of fundamental functional importance: the anti-codon, which is responsible for specific mRNA codon recognition, and the 3' end, to which the tRNAs corresponding amino acid is attached (by aminoacyl-tRNA synthetases). tRNAs cope with the degeneracy of the genetic code in two manners: having more than one tRNA (with a specific anti-codon) for a particular amino acid; and 'wobble' base-pairing, i.e. permitting non-standard base-pairing at the 3rd anti-codon position. Lineage: Eukaryota; Metazoa; Chordata; Mammalia; Carnivora; Felidae. RNAcentral also lists the same sequence under 2 other names. The record is from Rfam by way of RNAcentral.